GAUGAACGCUGGCGGCGUGCCUAAUACAUGCAAGUCGAGCGAACAGAUGAGGAGCUUGCUCCUCUGACGUUAGCGGCGGACGGGUGAGUAACACGUGGAUAACCUACCUAUAAGACUGGGAUAACUUCGGGAAACCGGAGCUAAUACCGGAUAAUAUAUUGAACCGCAUGGUUCAAUAGUGAAAGACGGUUUUGCUGUCACUUAUAGAUGGAUCCGCGCCGCAUUAGCUAGUUGGUAAGGUAACGGCUUACCAAGGCAACGAUGCGUAGCCGACCUGAGAGGGUGAUCGGCCACACUGGAACUGAGACACGGUCCAGACUCCUACGGGAGGCAGCAGUAGGGAAUCUUCCGCAAUGGGCGAAAGCCUGACGGAGCAACGCCGCGUGAGUGAUGAAGGUCUUCGGAUCGUAAAACUCUGUUAUUAGGUAAGAACAAAUGUGUAAGUAACUAUGCACGUCUUGACGGUACCUAAUCAGAAAGCCACGGCUAACUACGUG
This 497-nucleotide ribosomal RNA is filed under the name uncultured bacterium. RNAcentral's name for it is "partial 16S ribosomal RNA". It matches the Rfam family "Bacterial small subunit ribosomal RNA", at positions 28 to 507 of the family's 1533-position model. The record is from RNAcentral.